GUAGCUCAGUCUGGUUAGAGCACCGGCCUUUUAAGCCGGGUGUCGGGGGUUCAAAUCCCCCU
This 62-nucleotide transfer RNA is filed under the name Candidatus Pacearchaeota archaeon. RNAcentral's name for it is "tRNA-Lys". It matches the Rfam family "tRNA", at positions 8 to 63 of the family's 71-position model. Rfam says of the family: Transfer RNA (tRNA) molecules are approximately 80 nucleotides in length. The record is from RNAcentral. Lineage: Archaea; Nanobdellati.